Aedes albopictus (Asian tiger mosquito) is the source of this 1125-nucleotide long non-coding RNA. RefSeq lists it as uncharacterized. NCBI's taxonomy places the organism in Eukaryota, Metazoa, Arthropoda, Insecta, Diptera, Culicidae. The record is from RefSeq and is a predicted model, not a curated record. The transcript has 3 exons.
UCGCGAUCACAACAACCAAAAACAAAAACGUAGAGGGAAAUUUUUGAAAGUUUCUUUUGAUUCGCGAGUGAUUUCGACGAAAAAAUCGCGAUUGUGUAGAUUUUGAGUGUUUGUUUUACGAAGAGAACACCAUUGCGGAUGGAAAUAGGAAGUGGGGGACCAACGCUGUACUGUAACAGUACGAAGAUGCGACGAAAAGACGUUUUACGAACGAGGUUCAAAUUCAAGAACCCAUCAGUAAUAAUCUGAAGCUUCCACAGGAGAAAAACAGAUUGAUCAGCAACCGUCAAGAAGUACCUCCUGACUGAACGUGAUCCAUGUGAAAACAUCGGCCAAACGGGAGCUUGUGAAAAGAGUGCGUAGCAGUCGAGAACGAGAACAACGCCGAAAAUGUAGCUGUCCAGAAGACACAAAAAGGGUGUGAGUACCGCUUACUGGUCGAUUAUCAAGAAGACCCUAUCCUCUUCUUCCGUUGAACAAGACUACACCCACCCCUGCUCGAUAACCUCCAUCUGUUCCGGUGAGGCGACUGGGGAGCAGCUUAAUCUGGGUUCGGAUUGGUCGCCGUAUAAAUAGCAAAUUUGUCAAUAAUGAAGAAGGAAAGAGUGGCAUCCGGGUCUGGUUUCGUGUGAAGCCAUCGUCUCCCACGCUUCACACGAAAACUGGACGUGAUUGUCCGGCAUUGGAACCGAUGCCAAAGGUGAAUCGCGGCGGCAUUUUCGCGAUUGUCCGCCGCAAUCAAUUGCUCCGUCACGACCAACCGAGCAGAUCCGACAUCCACUUCCCGAAUCCCAAAGCAACACACCAAUCGCAGGAACAAGAAUACCGAAAAUGUGAAGAUAACCUGUAGUAUGUACCUAGUAGGGUAUGAUCGUGGAGGAAUGGUACCCCUCCACCGAAACGAUACGAAUACCUGCGCUGGCCGGUUAGUGCCCCUAGGAGCUGAUGAUGGUAAAUGAUUUUUUUUGCUUCAUGGACGAAGUCAUGAUGGCCUCUUCCAAAGUAUCAACAAAAGCAAUCUUCUUGUUAUUGUUAUUCAGGCCUCCUUGUUAUGUGACGACCGUGUUUCAUCAGAAUUACAUACAUCUGUUUAUAUAUAUCAUGUAAGAUUGAGAAAACAAGACG